This 723-nucleotide ribosomal RNA is filed under the name uncultured Actinomycetes bacterium. Its description in RNAcentral is "bacterial SSU rRNA". It matches the Rfam family "Bacterial small subunit ribosomal RNA", at positions 76 to 815 of the family's 1533-position model. Lineage: Bacteria; Bacillati; Actinomycetota; Actinomycetes. The record is from RNAcentral.
CCCUUCGGGGUGGAUUAGUGGCGAACGGGUGAGUAACACGUGGGCAAUCUGCCCUUCACUCUGGGACAAGCCCUGGAAACGGGGUCUAAUACCGGAUAACACUCCUGCCUGCAUGGGCGGGGGUUAAAAGCUCCGGCGGUGAAGGAUGAGCCCGCGGCCUAUCAGCUUGUUGGUGGGGUAAUGGCCCACCAAGGCGACGACGGGUAGCCGGCCUGAGAGGGCGACCGGCCACACUGGGACUGAGACACGGCCCAGACUCCUACGGGAGGCAGCAGUGGGGAAUAUUGCACAAUGGGCGAAAGCCUGAUGCAGCGACGCCGCGUGAGGGAUGACGGCCUUCGGGUUGUAAACCUCUUUCAGCAGGGAAGAAGCGAAAGUGACGGUACCUGCAGAAGAAGCGCCGGCUAACUACGUGCCAGCAGCCGCGGUAAUACGUAGGGCGCAAGCGUUGUCCGGAAUUAUUGGGCGUAAAGAGCUCGUAGGCGGCUUGUCACGUCGGAUGUGAAAGCCCGAGGCUUAACCUCGGGUCUGCAUUCGAUACGGGCUAGCUAGAGUGUGGUAGGGGAGAUCGGAAUUCCUGGUGUAGCGGUGAAAUGCGCAGAUAUCAGGAGGAACACCGGUGGCGAAGGCGGAUCUCUGGGCCAUUACUGACGCUGAGGAGCGAAAGCGUGGGGAGCGAACAGGAUUAGAUACCCUGGUAGUCCACGCCGUAAACGUUGGGAA